GGGGAUGUGGCUUAGUGGUAGAGUGCUUGCCUAGCAUGCAUGAAGCCCUGGGUUCAAUUCCUCAGUACUA
This 70-nucleotide transfer RNA is filed under the name Dipodomys ordii (Ord's kangaroo rat). It matches the Rfam family "tRNA". Rfam says of the family: Transfer RNA (tRNA) molecules are approximately 80 nucleotides in length. Their secondary structure includes four short double-helical elements and three loops (D, anti-codon, and T loops). Lineage: Eukaryota; Metazoa; Chordata; Mammalia; Rodentia; Heteromyidae. The record is from Rfam by way of RNAcentral.